UGUCUAGUAUAGCAUUAUACGGCGAAACUGCGAAUGGCUCAUUAAAUCAGUUAUCGUUUAUUUGAUAGUACCUUACUACUUGGAUAACCGUGGUAAUUCUAGAGCUAAUACAUGCUAAAAAUCCCGACUCACGGAGGGAUGUAUUUAUUAGAUUAAAAACCAAUGCCCUUCGGGGCUUACUGGUGAUUCAUGAUAACUUCUCGAAUCGCAUGGCCUUGUGCCGGCGAUGGUUCAUUCAAAUUUCUGCCCUAUCAACUUUCGAUGGCAGGGUCUUGGCCUGCCAUGGUUACAACGGGUAACGGAGGGUUAGGGCUCGACCCCGGAGAAGGAGCCUGAGAAACGGCUACUACAUCCAAGGAAGGCAGCAGGCGCGCAAAUUACCCAAUCCCGAUACGGGGAGGUAGUGACAAUAAAUACUGAUACAGGGCUCUUUUGGGUCUUGUAAUUGGAAUGAGUACAAUUUAAAUCCCUUAACGAGGAACAAUUGGAGGGCAAGUCUGGUGCCAGCAGCCGCGGUAAUUCCAGCUCCAAUAGCGUAUAUUAAAGUUGUUGCAGUUAAAAAGCUCGUAGUUGAACCUUGGGCCUGGCUGGCCGGUCCGCCUCACCGCGUGCACUGGUUCGGCCGGGCCUUUCCCUCUGGGGAACCCCAUGUCCUUCACUGGGUGUGGUGGGGAACCAGGACUUUUACUGUGAAAAAAUUAGAGUGUUCAAAGCAGGCCUAUGCUCGAAUAGUACAGCAUGGAAUAAUAGAAUAGGACGCGCGGUUCUAUUUUGUUGGUUUCUAGGACCGCCGUAAUGAUUAAUAGGGACAGUCGGGGGCAUCAGUAUUCAAUUGUCAGAGGUGAAAUUCUUGGAUUUAUUGAAGACUAACUACUGCGAAAGCAUUUGCCAAGGAUGUUUUCAUUAAUCAGGAACGAAAGUUAGGGGAUCGAAGACGAUCAGAUACCGUCGUAGUCUUAACCAUAAACUAUGCCGACUAGGGAUCGGACGAUGUUAUUUUUUGACUCGUUCGGCACCUUACGAGAAAUCAAAGUCUUUGGGUCUGGGGGAGUA
This 1053-nucleotide ribosomal RNA is filed under the name Endocalyx metroxyli. RNAcentral describes it as "SSU rRNA". It matches the Rfam family "Eukaryotic small subunit ribosomal RNA", at positions 56 to 1125 of the family's 1831-position model. The record is from RNAcentral. Lineage: Eukaryota; Fungi; Ascomycota; Sordariomycetes; Amphisphaeriales; Apiosporaceae.